This 684-nucleotide ribosomal RNA is filed under the name uncultured bacterium. Its description in RNAcentral is "bacterial SSU rRNA". It matches the Rfam family "Bacterial small subunit ribosomal RNA", at positions 10 to 680 of the family's 1533-position model. The record is from RNAcentral.
AGUUUGAUCCUGGCUCAGGAUGAACGCUGGCGGCGUGCUUAACACAUGCAAGUCGAACGGGGAUGCCAUUUUCGAGGUGAUUAGUUUACUAAGAGCCAAGAUGUUGGCAUCUUAGUGGCGGACGGGUGAGUAACGCGUGGGUAACCUGCCUUAUACAGGGGGAUAACACUUAGAAAUAGGUGCUAAUACCGCAUAAGCGCACGGGGCUGCAUGGCCCAGUGUGAAAAACUCCGGUGGUAUAAGAUGGACCCGCGUCUGAUUAGCUUGUUGGCGGGGUAACGGCCCACCAAGGCGACGAUCAGUAGCCGGCCUGAGAGGGUGGACGGCCACAUUGGGACUGAGACACGGCCCAAACUCCUACGGGAGGCAGCAGUGGGGAAUAUUGGACAAUGGGGGGAACCCUGAUCCAGCGACGCCGCGUGAGUGAAGAAGUAUUUCGGUAUGUAAAGCUCUAUCAGCAGGGAAGAAAGAAAUGACGGUACCUGACUAAGAAGCCCCGGCUAACUACGUGCCAGCAGCCGCGGUAAUACGUAGGGGGCAAGCGUUAUCCGGAUUUACUGGGUGUAAAGGGAGCGUAGACGGUUACGCAAGUCUGGAGUGAAAGGCGGGGGCCCAACCCCCGGACUGCUUUGGAAACUGUAUAACUGGAGUGCAGGAGAGGUAAGUGGAAUUCCUAGUGUAGCG